UGGCGGACGGGUGAGUAAUGUCUGGGAAACUGCCUGAUGGAGGGGGAUAACUACUGGAAACGGUAGCUAAUACCGCAUAACGUCGCAAGACCAAAGAGGGGGACCUUCGGGCCUCUUGCCAUCGGAUGUGCCCAGAUGGGAUUAGCUAGUAGGUGGGGUAACGGCUCACCUAGGCGACGAUCCCUAGCUGGUCUGAGAGGAUGACCAGCCACACUGGAACUGAGACACGGUCCAGAUCCUACGGGAGGCAGCAUG
Molecule: ribosomal RNA, 255 nt
Filed under: uncultured bacterium
Lineage: Bacteria
Description: partial 16S ribosomal RNA
Rfam family: Bacterial small subunit ribosomal RNA
Source: RNAcentral